CAAACCCAGUGCCUCACAUGUGUGACUGUUGAGCCACAACCAUUUUACAAAUGACUAAGCUGAGUUACACAGUUUCAAGAACUGUAAAAGUCUUGGAAUUUUAUAGUACUUGCAAGCUAAUAAACUAGACAGUCAUUGUUUUAUUGCUGUUUGUAGAAGACACAAGACUCCUGGGUCAGAAGCAAAGGACCUUAUUACUCACUGUACAGCAGGUAGCAUGAGUACAUGUUUGAUUUUGUUCCCUUGACUCCCAAGUUACAGGGGCUCUGCAGAGUAGCUUGGGUUGAUGUUACAUCCAAAAUGAGAAACUGUUACAUCCAAAACGAGAAACCUCCAAUUUAGGAAAUUGUAUCUUUAUAAUGGACUGAGCAAACUUGUCCUUUGUUCGAGAAGGAGACAGUGUCACUAUAUUCCAAGACUUUGUAUUCAAAAGAUACACGGAAAGAUAGUACAGGGACUGGAUUUGUGGCUGACUUAUUGGUAAGGCCCUUCCCUAGUAUGCAUGAGUUCCUGGGUUAGAUCCCCCAAACCAUACCUACACAUGCAUACAAAGAGCAGAACAAAAACUGAAAAUGCCGCUUCUUGCAGAACAUGCAAGGAUAGAAGAGGCCUGUGGGAAUUUGCCUCUCAUCUGAGAUGUUAAGAAAGUUUCCAAAGUUAAACAAGUAAUGAGUGGACUAACUCCAAGUUGGCCACAAGAGAUUUUCUCCACAUUUUCUUGAUUCAAAUAUUGUGCAGUUAAG
Molecule: long non-coding RNA, 743 nt
Filed under: Marmota monax (woodchuck)
Lineage: Eukaryota; Metazoa; Chordata; Mammalia; Rodentia; Sciuridae
Source: RNAcentral